AGAGUUUGAUCAUGGCUCAGAACGAACGCUGGCGGCGUGCCUAACACAUGCAAGUCGAGCGCGAAUGGAGCAAUCCUAGUAGAGCGGCGCACGGGUGCGUAACACGUGGGUAAUCUGCCUGAGUGUCUGGGAUAACCAGUCGAAAGACUGGCUAAUACCGGAUGAGCCCCCGGGAACUUCGGUUCUUGAGGGAAAAGGUGGCCUCUGUAUACAAGCUAUCACACUCAGAUGAGCCCGCGGCCCAUCAGCUAGUUGGCGGGGUAAUGGCCCACCAAGGCAACGACGGGUAGCUGGUCUGAGAGGACGAUCAGCCACACUGGAACUGAGACACGGUCCAGACUCCUACGGGAGGCAGCAGUGGGGAAUUUUGCGCAAUGGGCGAAAGCCUGACGCAGCAACGCCGCGUGUGUGAUGAAGGUCUUUGGAUUGUAAAGCACUUUCGACCGGGACGAAAACCCUCUGGCUAACAUCCAGGGGCUUGACGGUACCGGGAGAAGAAGCACCGGCUAACUCUGUGCCAGCAGCCGCGGUAAUACAGAGGGUGCAAGCGUUGUUCGGAAUUAUUGGGCGUAAAGCGCGUGUAGGCGGCUUUGCAAGUCGGAUGUGAAAGCCCUCGGCUCAACCGAGGAAGUGCGUUCGAAACUGCAGAGCUUGAGUGCCGGAGAGGGGCGGAAUUCCCCAAGUAGAGGUGAAAUUCGUAGAUAUGGGGAGGAACACCGGUGGCGAAGGCGGCCACCUGGACGGUCACUGACGCUGAGACGCGAAAGCGUGGGUAGCAAACAGGAUUAGAUACCCUAGUAGUCC
This 804-nucleotide ribosomal RNA is filed under the name uncultured bacterium. RNAcentral describes it as "bacterial SSU rRNA". It matches the Rfam family "Bacterial small subunit ribosomal RNA", at positions 8 to 796 of the family's 1533-position model. The record is from RNAcentral.